RNAcentral lists this long non-coding RNA (9145 nucleotides) under Oryza sativa (Asian cultivated rice). RNAcentral describes it as "long non-coding RNA (OSAT_LNC000102)". The record is from RNAcentral. Lineage: Eukaryota; Viridiplantae; Streptophyta; Magnoliopsida; Poales; Poaceae.
ACGUAAGUUCCCAUUUAUUCUCUUCUUACUAACUUACUAGAUAAUAAUAUUACUAUAUAUCAUCAAUAAUGAUAUUCAAUACUUGCACGUUUGUUGCUUACUACAGAAGCCAUCUAGAGGAGAAACAACCUCGAUUUCAUGGAGUGGGAACAGCUCUUAUCUAGCAUCAAGUUUUCACCCAAGAGCAACUGAAGAUGAGACAAGCAACAGUAUGAUCAUUAUUCAUAAGAGGGCAAGUGCUUCAAGAACAAAUGAGGUGCAAUCAAUUGAGAUGGAAGGCCGACCAAACCUAAUAGCAAAGUUUCACCCUGUUCAUAAUUGUCUUUUCAUAGCUAAGCGGCGGUGGGGAUUAGACAUCAAGGUAAAAUUAGCUCCCCAAUAUUUUUAUCCUCGUCGUUUGUGCACACAUUAAUUUGUUAUUGUUUCAUUAUCUCCAGAUCUUCUCGAACACAAUCACUGGCUUUGAAAAAGAAUCUGAUAAGUGGGUUCAAGUUGCUUCCUUGUAAGUAAAAUUUGUCAAGCUUAUUAAUUUUCUAAUCAAACAACAUGUCAUAUCCAAUAUUGCAUUAUUGUUGUAUAUAGUGAUCACGACGGUGAAAUAUCUUCAAUUAAUUUCAUCAUUUCAAGUAAUGGGUCGUCAAAAUCAUUUGCAAUUGCUAGGUAUGUUUUGCAUUAUAGCUAAGGUCUGUCAUUGUUCAUAAAAAAACAGAUAUUAUAGCAUAAAGGGAAAUUGAUUAUAUUUAAACCGUACUUCAGGGUUGAUAACAUAAUAUCUUUCUAUAAAUAUGAUCACUAUUCCGGAUCUGAGUGGACUCCUACAGCUAAGCAAAGGUAAUUUCUAAUUUAACUCAUGUUUAUCAUAAAGUUUCUAUUUUCAUUAGUUUAUUUAAAUGAUUUUAGGAGACAAAAUAUAUUAUAGACCAACUACCCAUUCACCAUAUAAUAAUAGCAUCCAUAAAUAUGAUAAGUUAACCCGCGGUUUGGUGAUAGAUGUGCCCCGAAAUCUAAGAAUUUGUGAUAUUUACUCGUAAUAUUUUAUAGGACUUUGAUAUAUAAAUAAUUGUUGCUAUUGGCAGAGUUUCUUUCCAAUACAAAGUGAACACUGGAAAUCGAUUCAAAAAAAUUCUUUCCAUGGGUUGCUACAUAGACUCAACUAUUGCAAUUGGUUACACGGAUGGUUCUAUUGAGAUCUUUACAAAGAAAAGAGGAAAAGUAUGUGUUUCAUGUUCUUCUUAUUUGUUUAAGAUAUAUCAAGAUAUUUUUUUUACUAUUUAUGUACUUGUUUACCUAAAUGCAGUAUGUUAGUGCUUUAAACAAGUACUGGGAGCAUCAUUGGUCAAAAGCUAAAUGCUGGGCAUCCACCAUUCCUUGCCUAUCCUGGCAAUACAACGUAAGAUUGACAUCUUAUUUAUUAGUAUUUUUAGCAUACAAUCAUGUUUUGAUACGUCAUCUCACCAUCAUCAUUUUAUUUCAGACCGAAAAGACUCCUAAGGUGCUAGCAGUAGGAGGGGAACAUGGUUUUGUUUUGUUCUAUGAUUUUAUUGAAGCGGGGCCUUACACUGAAAUACCAAACCGUGACUAUGAAUGGGAGACUAACUACUACAAAUGUCCUUCCGAACCGUAUGUACUAUUAGAAGUGAAAACAUUGUUUGUGUUUCUUUAAUUAAAGUAUUUAUCACUUUUUAGCAUAUACUGAUCCAAGUUUAUCAGGGACGAGGAGGUCGAGGAGGAGGAGGAGGAGGAGGAGGAGGAGCCAACACAUGAUGUCACUCAAGAGUUAAACUCACAAGAAGAAGUUGAGCCUGUGAAGGGUAUGUACAAAAUUGGGGUCAGAUUCACAUAACUUAGAUUAAUUACUUAGACUAAACACUUUUUUCUCUUCAUUGUAUGUGCAGAAACAAAAUUUGCUAUCUGUCAACAGAUUUUCUGUAGCAGAACAGUAAAUAUGGAAGAUAUCAAAGCCAUUGGAUUUAAAAUGGAGUACACACUCAUCAAUUAUAAGGUCACAUUUGAGAACCUUGCUUAUGUUGAAGCCAAAAAGAGAUUAGUAAAUGGAAAGUAUCCCGAAAAGGUACGUUUGAGUAAAAGAGUCAGUCAGUUGUAUUUUGAAAUUCAUUUGUUAAGUUUGUGAGUUAUUCUAACACUUUUUCUGUGAAGGUUAUUGUUGGCAUGGAGCGCUGACUCUAGUUCGUUAUAAUUAGAGUUUGUGUUAGUUUGUCUUAGUACAUGGAUACUUGGAUAGUACCCAUAUGGUAUUGUAGCAACGAGCACUAUUGGAUUGGGCCCCCUGCUACAGGUUAGGAAUUAGAGACAAAAACAAGUAGUUUCCUUAUAAAUUAGAUUGAUAUGGUUCCUUGAUAUUACAUAUAAUUACCACCUUUUUUGACAAAUGGGUCCUUUUCAAAAACUUAUUUUAAAACCAGACCAUGGCAAAAACUUCACAAAAAUAGGCCAUCGGCUCAGCGCCAGCCAUGCACUUUGACGCUGACCCCCCUACCCACAUGGCGGCCGAGCCGAUUCCCCUCGCCGGCGUGGCAAUACUCAGCGCCAGCGCCAACCGAAAUGGUGCUGAACCGUCUAACCUCAGCGCCAAUGGGGGUUGGCGCUGAGCUAGGCUACUAAGGCCAAUGCGGCCGCCCCACCCACCAUCUCUCUUCUUCCUCUCCUUUCCUUCUCUCCCCUAGGGCUGCUGCCAUGUAGUGCAACAUCGUUGACGACAACCAUCUUGGAGCCAUUGCAUAUCUCAAUGCCAAAGGGCUCAUGCUGUGAGGACGUCGAUGGGGCCAGCCAAGCCACUGCCAUUGCUCUUUGCCUAGUCAAGGAAGUUGGCCUAGCUGCUGUUUGGGGCUGUUGAAUCAACGUUGAGGACAACCACAACACCACCGAUGGAAUGGCUUGUCGACAACCAUGCGUUUUUCUGAAGUUGCAACCAUGGCCACCCCCUGCAGCUCGAGGAUGAGUUGCCCAAAAGGAGGGAUAAGAUAUUAUGGGCGUGGAGCAGCUCCAUUUAGUUAUAAUUAGGGUAUGUCAGAUACAAAAAAAAAACCAUGGUAUUACAGUGCUGAGCACUAUUUGCAUGGGCCUCCUGUUGUGCAGGUUAGGAACCAGAUGUAAGAAUAAGUAAUUCCUUAUAGAUUAAAUUGGUUUGGUUCCUUAAUAUUAGAGAAAGGUAUUUUAGAGGUCAAGUUAUUCCUCUCCAUGGGAUUGUAUCUCUUUUGAUUAAGCAAGAAACAAAAAAUAGUUCCCUCCUCCACGGCCGCAGCUCUCUCUAGACCCCCGCAAACCUUAGACAAAACAACAUCCACUCUAUACUAACUGUCAGUCAUGAUAUCAUCUUUUACUGUUGCACUGUUUAAUCUACUUGUUUAAAUACUAUAUGAGAUCAAAUUUAUCAUAGUAAGAGUAAUUUUACUUUGUUAGUUAUAUUCUAAUUUAAUUUAUUCAUUUUCUAUUGAAUAGAUAUUAGAAUGGAACUACAACAGUGAGCAUAUGAUCAGAGGUUUGAUAAUUGACAAGAAAAAGGGAAAUAUAAUCAAGGUUAGCAAAACAAGUGAACUUUUUUUGUAUACAAACAAAAUAGACAAUGGUUAAUUGACUCUAUCCACCUUUUUUGUGAUUGAACAUUAGGUGGACCACUAUAAUAAUGUAAAAAUGUCAUACCAUGGCAUGAAUGAGAUGCCAUAUGAGGAAUCAAAAAAUGUUUAUGGAUCUACAUUUAUGUUUGAAGAACCUGAGUUUGCUGCCAUGGAUACAACUUUCUCUUGUUGUGAAGGAUAUCUAUUUGCCCAACUCGUUGAUUUGAUGGAUACCAAUCCUCAAGAAGUGCCAGCGCCUACGUAUGAUUUUGACCAAACAUUAUUUAUAUAGUGAAAGCAUUUCAAUUUUCAUUAACAUUAUUUCAAUGUGAUAUUUGAUGAUGCAGCUACAUGACUUUAUACAAACAUCUCAGGGAAGCCUUUGAUCAGGGCUAUAAAGAUGGAACUCUUAAACAAUCUGUGGCCAAUGACCUUGCUAGGUAUGAGUAGCAAUUUUCAGUCAUAUGAUUGGUAUAAUUCAAAUAGUGCUAGAUGUGGUACAUGUAAGAAAUUAUGAUCUAAGAAUGAACAAGUCUAUGCCAAUUUCUUUACUAUCCUAAAUAGCACGACCUUUUAAUUUUUGUUUGAUUAAAAGGAGAUAACUUGGGCUGCUAUAUAUAGUUGUCAUCUUCGGCUACAAUCUAUAUCUAGCCCAUCUCUAAGAAACAAGACAAACAAAUAACCAGCCCUAUAAACGCAUCCUUGGCUACAGUUUAUAUCUAGCCCAUCUCUUAACAAGCAGCCAAACAAAUAACCAAUCCUUUUAUAGACUAAUCAAUUUUCUCCUGAUCUGUUAACUAAGUUACGUGGAAAGCACAAAUAUUGAAAUUCUCUUCAUUGCCCCUAUAGAGCACACUUAUGACAUGGGCUCGAUCUGUCAUUGAUUUGCUACUUGAAUAUAUUUCGCAUGUUAUCCAUGGCACUAAUUUUUGUAGUUUGAAACUGACAGGUACAUCGAUAAAGAUCCAUCACUUCUUCCAAUGCUUCAGAACAUUAAGAACAAAGGAAUCUCCACGUUCUUAAUAACAGAUAGGUAUGUGGUUUAUGCAUUUUCAAAAUUAUACCACUGUGAUCGUUGGUUAUCCCUUUAGUGCAGAAUUGAACUACUUCAAUGUUAGGGAAGCUUUAGGUAUGGAUUUAGCAAGAGAGAUAGGUUUUGGGGCUAUGAUGAGCUACAGCUAGCUGAUUCAUCUUCUCAUUUAUAGCUGAAAGACAAAGAUACACAACAUCCUAGUGGCUUGCUUAUAACUAAGACUCUUCACUUGACCCACUGACUUGUAGCCUAAGACUUUGACUCACUAGCUUACUCCCUAAGGAAAGCUAUUCCCAAAGGAAAAGACCUGACUUAUUAACUCAAACUAACUACAACAAGGAUUAUACUAACAAAGUUUUCAGUUCUUCUCAUUCCACUUAUUUUGUUUUAAGUGCUAUGUCUUGAUAUUCAACAUAUGUGCCUGCUUUUGUAGUUUGUGGGAUUAUACUGACAUUGUUAUGGAUUAUGCGCUACAUCAAGAUAAAGUGAACAAACACAGCUGGCUUCAAUAUUUUGACAUUGUCUUUACAGGAAGGUUUGGUGAUGUCUAUUUCACUUCUCUACUUCAAGUUACUCACAUAUUUUGUUUAUAUUUAUUUAGAAAAAUUUUUGCUUGCAGCCGAAGCUUUUUUAGUGAAGAAAGCCACGUGGAGCUGUUCGACGUGGAGAUUGAAACCGGGAAAAUUUCAAAUCCUAAAGAAUAUCAGGUAAACAAAGUGAUAUUAAAUAAUCAUCAAGAUGGCUCUAUUCUCUUGUGUGUGUAAUCCAUGUGAUUCUUACGUAGUUGGGGAGAUCGAAAACAAAUCAAGCACCUAAGGAGAUCCAGAAAGUAUAUCAGGUACCCUCUGUUCUCCCAUUCGAAUGUAUGUAAUAAUCCUUAUCAUAAUUAUUAACUAGAUAGAUUGUAAUUUAAUGCCAUUAAUGCCAUGUACAGUCAAUGUCCACAUGACUCAGACUCCCCAUAAUUCUCCCACACAUACACACUCGUAUCGAGUAACACCGCCAAGGGCAGUGUACAUGCAUGCAAAACCACCUCCCGUAAAGUCCAAGGAUGAAAAAUGUUUAGUUUGGAUUGUCGAGGGAUGGAAUGAUCGGUUUCGACUGGUAUGACAAUUGAGGGACGAAACUAAACCAUUGCAAGAGUCAAGGGUCGAAAGUAGACUUUUUCCUCCUAGAUAAGAGCAUCAAGUUAGUGAAAUGCUGCAUAAAGUGUACAUAUAGUGAUAUUGUGGUGGCUAUAGAUAAACAAAGGAGGGGUAAAUGAAGCUACACUACAAUUAUGAGGAUAAGAACCCUGCCAUUUAUUAAGGACAAUUAAUAUGACCGGUUGCAUGCACAACAAUAGUAGGUCAGGGAAGUCAGCAGCACAUCAGCCUCGCUUUUCAGUGGAGGCAUAUUAUAAGACUAAUCAGGUAGCUGUAGUUUAUUAGGUAAAGCAGGCUAGAUUUUGCAUGCUCAUAUUUGAUUAAAACCGUAGGACUAAUCAGGUAGCUAUAGUUUAUUAGGUAGAACAGGCUAGAUUUUUGCAUGCUCAUAUUUGAUUAAAACUGUAGGACUUGCAUAUACUCCCAAAUAAAAAGGAAAGGAGAGAACAGAGAAAGAAACCUCAAGAAAUCAGACAAAAGCAUUCCAAUUGUAAAUGACCUUGAGCUUACCCGAGCACUCUGAUACCUGGUAACAAAGAAUGCACAGAAAAUGUUAGUUAUGAAGCCAUUGUUCUGUUACAAACUCUGAGACGAACCCAAAAAAAAAACAGUUGCAGCUAAACAAACCAUGGGCCACAUUUCAUGUCACUUUUGUUCCGUACCAAAUUCUUGUCUUGUUAGCAUAAUAGAUUCAUCCUGAAUUCAUUUACCCAUCAUGGUACUGUAAUUAUCACCAAAUUUAGUCCAAAAUAAGCCACAUACUAUGCAUUACGAGAAUAACAUCUUAUAACUUUAUUACAAUUGCAACUUAGUAAGCUAUUGUUUAUUUUGAGGCACUUUUCGGUUUUUUCAGGGAGGAGAUGUUGGACAUCUUCAAAGAUUAUUACCUAAUACCAAUGACCCCAAGCAGGUAUCAUCUUUGCCCUAUCACAAAAUUCAAUUUACUUUAGAUAUAGUUGGUAUACAUAGAGUUUUUCUUUUUCAUUUGAUGAUAUUUAGGAAUGUUUUCUUACAAACAGUCUAACAAUGCAAAAUUCUUCACGAUUAUAUAUAGGUUCUGUAUGUGACACAUCAUAUUACCAAAGAGAUGCUCAACAACAAGGCCCAAGGUAUGUGCUAUUCACUUGCUAUUUUUAGGUGACCUAGAAUAUGGUGGAUGUUAUAAACUUGACUGAAUAUAAUAGUUUGGGUCUGUUAGAGGAAGGGAUUAUUAUACUAUCAUACAUCAUCAUGGAAAAUCAUGAUGAAUGGGUGCCGACUCUAGCUGGCACCAAAACAGCCACAAUACAUGCAUCUGGGAAUGAUCAAGCACAAGGUGGUACCCAGGCGUAUAAUUGUACUUUUGUAGCAAUAUCCCAAAUUAUCCUCUCCUGUUUUAACUCUAAAAAUAGGAGCCAGUGAACAUAGCUUUACGAGUUAUAUACAUAAAGAGUACUCAGCAAAAUCAAGUGACAACCAUCAUUUUCCUUAACACUUGAUGUGCAUCCAGCACAACGAAAACUGGAAGAAAUUUUAUAUGCUUGAAGAUAACGAUAUAAUGUGUUUUGUUUUUAUUCCAUUAGUCUGGAUUUUUCCAUUUAUAUUAUUUCAGUAAUAAUUGGUCGUGCUGCAUUUUGUAAGGUUGGAAGACUAUGCAAAUUAUACCUGAGCUGGAAAAGGAAUUGCAAAUUAUCAGAGAACAGGGGUCAAUUCGACAGGUAUUCUUUUUCUAAAAAAAAUAAACACAAAAUUGCUACAAUGUUUCGGACAGAUGGUUAGCCCAUUUCCCCUCUCAAAGUGGAGAUCAGUACAUGUUCUGAUGUUUUUUGCGUGAAAACUUAAAAGACAUUCUCUCCUACUGAGUGGUUCUCAAUAUGCUUACAUGCUACAAUGAUUAAGGGUGAUUCAGAUGGUAACAUGAAAAAUAUAUUGAAUAAAAUGUCUAACCAAUAUUUAAUGUCUUCUCUAUUUAUUGUUCAUUUAUGGAUUAUCUAGAGUAGCAUGCAAUCAUUCUGUUUGUUAGCUUCUGCUUAAUUGCUUAUGGCUUGUUCUUUCCAAUUUGGACUCUCCAACACAGAUUAUUAUUCGUGCCAGAGUGAAAUCAAAUAGUGUAGAAGAUAAAAUCUGUAUGCUCAGAAGCACCACUGAGUAAGACAAUAGUGUUGUUCAUUCUACUUUCUUCCUAUUCAAUAUUUUUUCUCUCUCGAAUGAUUUUGCAGCAAAUAAGUAAUUGUGUUUUUAUUUUGGACAGGGUUGAUGUAAUGGAGAAAAUAAACAAACUGACCAGUGAGAAGAAAGAAGGGAAUGGACAGCGAACGUGAAACUGCUGAAAAGAGGCUAGCUUCAAAGGUAACUUUGCACACUUAUUUCAACCAUCUGCGACGCUAUGGUAGUUAAUUUAGGAAUUAGUAUCAGCUAACAGCAGAUUGUUUUGUUUUAUUUCAGUUUAAUGAUAAAUGGGGUCCAGUUAUGAAGGCUGGGAAUAAGAAUUCCCGAUUUGCUCGCGAGGUGGCAUUUAAUUUGUUGAGAUUUUGUUUUGAGGUGUUAUACAACAGUUACCAUUAGCAGUUGACAGUUUCUCUUUUGGCUUUAUUCCGUUUUCGCAGGUAGAAAGAUCAGCAUGGUUAUAUACCAGCAGGGCGUCAAACUUGGCUGCUGAGAGAUGUUAUGAACAAUCAGACCAGUUGAUGGCACAUGACUCCGAUUUGUUGAGCUUCCAUUUGGGCAAGGACUGAAGCAGUUUAUAGCCAAACUAGGUCGAUCUAGCUUCCUUGUAGGCAAGGACUGAUGCAGUUUAUAGCCAAAAAAAUGGGAUCAACCCAACCCAUCCCGGUUCUUUUUUUUUGGGGGACAAAAAGAAAAGGAAGUGAUAAUAGCCAAACUAGGUCGAUCUAGCUUCCUUGUAGGCUAGCUAAAUGGAUGAUACUAGUUGUGAUCUAAACGUUAAUACAACGAAAGUCCCAAGGCCCAAAUUUUGGAUUUGCAAGUUUUUGGUUCCAUACAUACCUGGAUCGGAAAAGAUCCACUGGAUCUGGAGCACCCUUCUCAAUGCCUGUCUUCAACUCCUUCCCCGCUCACGCUCAGACUGCUUCGCAAAGGUCGAAGGAGGCUUGAUCCGCCGCAAACAGCGCCGGUUAAGCAAUCCCCACCCAAACCACGACCACACACAUCGACGGGGCGCAGAUCGAGCGAUGAUGAAAGAACCUCGACCCCACGUUAAUUCGGGGGCGAAGCCGGGGAAUUCAACUAUUCGCCGCUACUAGGUUGGGAAAGCAGUAGGUUCGUCAAUUGUCCAAAUAACCCUCUAUCUGCCUUUAUUUUUUUCCGCUCUAGGACGGUGGUUUCUUAACUAUUUACCACUUUUACUCACGUGGCAUGCUAACAUGGCAAACCAGUGUAAAAAUCGAUGUAGG